This 319-nucleotide non-coding RNA is filed under the name Rhodobacteraceae bacterium PD-2. RNAcentral describes it as "Bacterial small subunit ribosomal RNA". It matches the Rfam family "Bacterial small subunit ribosomal RNA", at positions 27 to 344 of the family's 1533-position model. The record is from Rfam by way of RNAcentral. Lineage: Bacteria; Pseudomonadati; Pseudomonadota; Alphaproteobacteria; Rhodobacterales; Paracoccaceae.
GAUUGAACGCUGGCGGCAGGCCUAACACAUGCAAGUCGAGCGGAAACGAUGGAAGCUUGCUUCCAGGUGUCGAGCGGCGGACGGGUGAGUAAUGCAUAGGAAUCUGCCCGAUAGUGGGGGAUAACCUGGGGAAACUCAGGCUAAUACCGCAUACGUCCUACGGGAGAAAGCAGGGGAUCUUCGGACCUUGCGCUAUCGGAUGAGCCUAUGUCGGAUUAGCUUGUUGGUGGGGUAAUGGCCUACCAAGGCGACGAUCCGUAGCUGGUCUGAGAGGAUGAUCAGCCACAUCGGGACUGAGACACGGCCCGAACUCCUACGG